This 158-nucleotide small nuclear RNA is filed under the name Xenopus tropicalis (tropical clawed frog). Its description in RNAcentral is "U4 spliceosomal RNA (ENSXETG00000037948.2)". The stretch from base 1 to 65 matches the Rfam family "U4 spliceosomal RNA". Lineage: Eukaryota; Metazoa; Chordata; Amphibia; Anura; Pipidae. The record is from RNAcentral.
UGUUUUGCGCAGUGGCAGUAUCAUAGCCAAUGAGGUCAAACCGAAGCAUGAUUAUUGCUAAUUGUGAUGAAGCUGAAGCUUGAUGAACGCGGAGGGGCUGUGUUCCCAUUAGGGAAGAGCUGCUGACUUAUUUUUUGUCGGGGGCUUUGCACAUGCUC